UGGGGAAUAUUGCACAAUGGAGGGAACUCUGAUGCAGCGACGCCGCGUGAACGAAGAAGGCUUUCGAGUCGUAAAGUUCUUUUAUAUGGGAAGAUAAUGACGGUACCAUAAGAAAAAGCCCCGGCUAACUACGUGCCAGCAGCCGCGGUAAUACGUAGGGGGCUAGCGUUGUCCGGAAUCACUGGGCGUAAAGGGUUCGCAGGCGGAAAUGCAAGUCAGGUGUAAAAGGCAGAAGCUUAACUACUGUAAGCAUUUGAAACUGCAUAUCUUGAGAAGAGUAGAGGUAAGUGGAAUUUUUAGUGUAGCGGUGAAAUGCGUAGAUAUUAAAAAGAAUACCGGUGGCGAAGGCGGCUUACUGGGCUCAUUCUGACGCUGAGGAACGAAAGCGUGGGUAGCAAACAGG
This 403-nucleotide ribosomal RNA is filed under the name bacterium. RNAcentral's name for it is "partial 16S ribosomal RNA". It matches the Rfam family "Bacterial small subunit ribosomal RNA", at positions 355 to 776 of the family's 1533-position model. The record is from RNAcentral.